This is a long non-coding RNA of Syngnathus typhle (broad-nosed pipefish), 160 nucleotides long. RefSeq lists it as uncharacterized. Lineage: Eukaryota; Metazoa; Chordata; Actinopteri; Syngnathiformes; Syngnathidae. The record is from RefSeq and is a predicted model, not a curated record. The transcript has 2 exons.
GAAAGGAGGUGAAGCGGCAGCGGUGGGUCGGAGGGGGGCGGGUGUCACCGCAGAUGAAAAUGGGAUCUGUUUUUGGAACAUGCAUGGUCAGUGGAAUAAGACGAAGAGAGAAGUGUCUCCCUCAGGGCGGCGCAGUGACAUUUAACUCAAUAUCCCAGAA